This 1034-nucleotide long non-coding RNA is filed under the name Anas platyrhynchos (mallard). RNAcentral describes it as "lncRNA (ENSAPLG00020009325.1)". The record is from RNAcentral. Lineage: Eukaryota; Metazoa; Chordata; Aves; Anseriformes; Anatidae.
UACCCUCACAGGGAUUCUUGGGUCGUUCUGGUUUUUGUAAGAAUCAGACCAGAAAGUGAUGUGUAAACCAAAAGGCGGACAGAGGAACCAAAGGGGAUUAUUUUGUGUACGAUAACCACAAAAGGCACUGCCAGACGAAGGCAAACAGGAAAGAAAUGAGAUGACAGAUGUUAAUGAUUAUGAAGUCAAGCAUGUGGCAGUCCAUAAAAAGGCUGUGCCAGGGUUUCUGCCCUGACGUGAGUCACAGGAGGAACUACUGCAGUUCAAUGUAGAAAUCAAAACAUUGAUUUAAACUUUGAAACCGGAGGCACAAAGCUGCACACCUACAUCCACGUUCCACGUGCUUUAAGAAAGGAAACCUGGCAAAAUAAAAGCAUCAUGCACUUUAAACUUUAGUCACCCAAUGCUGCUGUUCAGGCGCUGGAAAGUCACUUCACAGAGCUACACUGGAUCACUGAAUAUUCCGCAGCCGAGCAAAUCUCCUGCCUCUUCUGUUCACCAGGAAAAAUACCAAGUAUACCUUACGUAAGUAAUUAAGUGGAUCGCUGGUAAAUAAAGAUGCUGAAGCCAUGACCGUCAGACUUCAAUAUAACUUCGCUGCAACAGAGAAUGACAACCUGCCUUCGGAGGCUUUCACACAUCGUUACAUAAGGCAUAAGAAACGCGAGGAUAUGUAAAGCCACAUACAUUAUAAGCUACCCAACCAUUUUCCGUCAAACAGAAUUAUCUCUGUACGCCCAUCUAAAAAAAAAAUACCUUGAGAUUUAUUCCUGGUGCACCAAAGCAUCCCUGGGCUUUGCUUCCAGCAACGCAGCAGGAUUGGGGUUAAAUCAGAGAGGUUUUAACACCAGAUGAAUAUCGCACAAUUUACAGUACAAGCAAAUUAGGCUGCAAACAGAAAAGCCAGCUGGGGGUACAUAAAACAAAACGUUUUGCGGAGCACUGAGGAACCGGUCAGUGCGUGUGACGUGGGAGCGAGCAGGGCAGCGGGCGGGCGAGGAGCACAGCACACUUGCCUCUUCCAGCAACAGCCA